This 602-nucleotide ribosomal RNA is filed under the name Pseudomonas aeruginosa. Its description in RNAcentral is "partial 23S ribosomal RNA". It matches the Rfam family "Bacterial large subunit ribosomal RNA", at positions 516 to 1118 of the family's 2925-position model. The record is from RNAcentral. Lineage: Bacteria; Pseudomonadati; Pseudomonadota; Gammaproteobacteria; Pseudomonadales; Pseudomonadaceae.
GAAAAGCACCCCGGAAGGGGAGUGAAAGAGAUCCUGAAACCAUGUGCCUACAAGUAGUUAGAGCCCGUUAAUGGGUGAUAGCGUGCCUUUUGUAGAAUGAACCGGCGAGUUACGAUUACGUGCGAGGUUAAGUUGAGAAGACGGAGCCGCAGCGAAAGCGAGUCUGAAUAGGGCGAUUGAGUAUGUGGUUGUAGACCCGAAACCAGGUGAUCUAUCCAUGAGCAGGUUGAAGGUGAGGUAACACUUACUGGAGGCCCGAACCCACGUACGUUGAAAAGUGCGGGGAUGAGGUGUGGGUAGCGGAGAAAUUACAAUCGAACCUGGAGAUAGCUGGUUCUCUCCGAAAUAGCUUUAGGGCUAGCCUCGUGAUUGAGAAUACUGGAGGUAGAGCACUGUUUGGACUAGGGGGGCAUCUCGCUUUACCGAAUUCAGACAAACUCCGAAUGCCAGAUAUUUAUACACGGGAGUCAGACUGCGAGUGAUAAGAUCCGUAGUCAAGAGGGAAACAGCCCAGACCACCAGCUAAGGUCCCAAAGUAAUUGUUAAGUGGAAAAGGAUGUGGCGUUGCUUAGACAACCAGGAUGUUGGCUUAGAAGCAGCCA